RNAcentral lists this ribosomal RNA (480 nucleotides) under uncultured bacterium. Its description in RNAcentral is "partial 16S ribosomal RNA". The record is from RNAcentral.
GUAGUUAGCCGUGGCUUCCUCCUUAGGUACCGUCAUUAUCGUCCCUAAAGACAGAGCUUUACAAUCCGAAGACCUUCAUCACUCACGCGGCGUUGCUGCAUCAGGGUUUCCCCCAUUGUGCAAUAUUCCCCACUGCUGCCUCCCGUAGGAGUCUGGACCGUGUCUCAGUUCCAGUGUGGCCGAUCAGCCUCUCAGCUCGGCUACCCAUCGUCGACUUGGUGGGCCGUUACCCCGCCAACUAUCUAAUGGGACGCGAACCCCUCCUUCUGCGGAUUGCUCCUUUGACCUCUCUGCCAUGCGACAGUGUGGUCUUAUGCGGUAUUAGCACUUGUUUCCAGGUGUUAUCCCCCUCAAAGGUCAGGUUGUUCACGCGUUACUCACCCGUUCGCCACUAGAUGUAAAACCGAAUCUUACAUCCCGUUCGACUUGCAUGUGUUAGGCACGCCGCCAGCGUUCGUCCUGAACCAGAUCAAAUUCUGA